UGAGGAAUAUUGGUCAAUGGGCGAGAGCCUGAACCAGCCAAGUAGCGUGAAGGAUGACUGCCCUAUGGGUUGUAAACUUCUUUUAUAAAGGAAUAAAGUCGGGUAUGCAUACCCGUUUGCAUGUACUUUAUGAAUAAGG
This 139-nucleotide ribosomal RNA is filed under the name uncultured bacterium. Its description in RNAcentral is "partial 16S rRNA". It matches the Rfam family "Bacterial small subunit ribosomal RNA", at positions 355 to 491 of the family's 1533-position model. The record is from RNAcentral.